Molecule: transfer RNA, 35 nt
Filed under: Loxosceles sp. RPD-2010
Lineage: Eukaryota; Metazoa; Arthropoda; Arachnida; Araneae; Sicariidae
Description: partial tRNA-Leu
Source: RNAcentral
CAUCCUCAUCUUAGCAGAACAUUGCAUUAGACUUA